This 253-nucleotide ribosomal RNA is filed under the name uncultured bacterium. Its description in RNAcentral is "partial 16S ribosomal RNA". It matches the Rfam family "Bacterial small subunit ribosomal RNA", at positions 524 to 776 of the family's 1533-position model. The record is from RNAcentral.
UACGAAGGGGGCUAGCGUUGUUCGGAAUCACUGGGCGUAAAGCGCACGUAGGCGGAUCUUUAAGUCAGGGGUGAAAUCCCGAGGCUCAACCUCGGAACUGCCUUUGAUACUGGGGAUCUCGAGUCCGGGAGAGGUGAGUGGAACUGCGAGUGUAGAGGUGAAAUUCGUAGAUAUUCGCAAGAACACCAGUGGCGAAGGCGGCUCACUGGCCCGGUACUGACGCUGAGGCACGAAAGCGUGGGGAGCAAACAGG